RNAcentral lists this ribosomal RNA (591 nucleotides) under Macrophthalmus japonicus. Its description in RNAcentral is "partial 16S ribosomal RNA". The record is from RNAcentral. Lineage: Eukaryota; Metazoa; Arthropoda; Malacostraca; Decapoda; Macrophthalmidae.
UGUAAAUAACUUGUUUAAAGUUUGGGGAAUAUAGAAGGGAGUUAAGAAAAAUAAUUUUAUAAUUUUAGUAAUUUUUAAUGAAAAUUAAGUAAAGACUAGAGAGAAAAGUACUGUGAAGGAAAGUUGUUGAGAUUUUAUAUAGAAAAAGUAAAAUUUUGUGCCUCGUGUAUCAGAAAAAAUUUAUAUAAUUUAGUUAAUGGUAAGUAUCUCGAAAUAAAAUAUAGUAAUUUUUAUAAAAUUUUCUUUUUAGAAAAAAAGAAUUUAAUAUAAAAUUUAAAGUGAAAUGCUAGCUGAGUUUUAUGAUAUCUAGUUUUUUAAAAAAUAAAUUUAAUUUAAUUUUUACGAAGAAAGAAUUGUAAAAUUAAAUGGUAGGGGGGAUUAGCUCUUUACGGAAAAGUCAAUGAAAUAGGUAGAUAUAAAGAAAUUAUAUAAAUUAGGCUUAGAAGUAGCUAUAUUGAAAAAGUGUUUUAACUAAAUUAUAAUUACUUGAAUAUUUAAGAUAACUUUUGUUAGGUAUUAAAAAAACGGUUUAAACAAAAUAAAACGAAAUAUAAUGAUUUUAUUAGUAAAAUUUAUUAAGUAAAUAAAAAU